GGAGGUGGGGUCGCAGCGCGCUCCUUCCUGGAAGGGAAGAGGCCAGAGGACGAAGCGGGUCACACCUCCAGAGCUGUCGGGGAAGAACCAUGGAGGUGACCUUGUGCCCUGCUCCAUAUAUAAGACAGCGGCAAGGCGCAGGACAGCAAACACUCCUGACUAUCGAGCUGCCUCUGUCGUUCCACAGUCAUCAUGAACACCAAGAGGGUCCUGGACUGGUGCGUGCUGGUGGUGGCAGUGAUAGCCACGGCUGCUGCUAAUGCCAACCCUGGUCGUGGAGGCUACAACAGGAGGGGCUAGUGAGGACAUACCCCUACCCUCGCUGCGAUGAACCGGUCUCUCACUGUCACGUAAUGUCUUACCCUGACACCACGUUCUACCACUUUCUCAAAGAGGCUCUCUUUUUUAAUGUUACUAAUGUAAACAGUUUUCUCCUCGUUCUAAUGUUAUCGCAUAACUAUUUUUAUAAUGUCAGUAUUAAAUAUUUGUAUCAUUUAUUCUCACAAUAAAGAAAAUGUUAUCAAAUAA
Long non-coding RNA from Bacillus rossius redtenbacheri, 528 nucleotides. RefSeq lists it as uncharacterized. The transcript is spliced from 2 exons. The record is from RefSeq and is a predicted model, not a curated record. Lineage: Eukaryota; Metazoa; Arthropoda; Insecta; Phasmatodea; Bacillidae.